GGGUUGUGAGGUUAAGCGACUAAGCGUACACGGUGGAUGCCCUGGCAGUCAGAGGCGAUGAAGGACGUGCUAAUCUGCGAUAAGCGUCGGUAAGGUGAUAUGAACCGUUAUAACCGGCGAUUUCCGAAUGGGGAAACCCAGUGUGAUUCGUCACACUAUCAUUACGUGAAUACAUAGCGUAAUGAAGCGAACCGGGGGAACUGAAACAUCUAAGUACCCCGAGGAAAAGAAAUCAACCGAGAUUCCCCCAGUAGCGGCGAGCGAACGGGGAGCAGCCC
RNAcentral lists this ribosomal RNA (278 nucleotides) under Citrobacter freundii. RNAcentral's name for it is "partial 23S ribosomal RNA". It matches the Rfam family "Bacterial large subunit ribosomal RNA", at positions 1 to 270 of the family's 2925-position model. Lineage: Bacteria; Pseudomonadati; Pseudomonadota; Gammaproteobacteria; Enterobacterales; Enterobacteriaceae. The record is from RNAcentral.